Molecule: unclassified non-coding RNA, 150 nt
Filed under: fungal sp.
Lineage: Eukaryota; Fungi
Description: partial internal transcribed spacer region
Rfam family: Eukaryotic small subunit ribosomal RNA (bases 1-46)
Source: RNAcentral
AAGUCGUAACAAGGUUUCCGUAGAUGAAUCUGCGGAAGGAUCAUUAAUAUAACAAAAUUAUUUGCAUAUAUUAUUUAUAAAAAGUAUUUGGUCAUAUAGAUUUAUUCAAAUUAAAAAAAAUAACUUUUAACGAUGGAUCUCUUGGCUCUU